This 1942-nucleotide long non-coding RNA is filed under the name Triticum aestivum (bread wheat). Its description in RNAcentral is "long non-coding RNA (TAES_LNC005293)". The record is from RNAcentral. Lineage: Eukaryota; Viridiplantae; Streptophyta; Magnoliopsida; Poales; Poaceae.
ACAACCCAUGUAAUACAUAAGAGAAAGAGAUACAUAGUUGGCUUACAAUCACCACUUCACACAAUUACAUGAAUAAAGCAUUACAUCAACCAGAUACAAUCAAGGUCCGACUACGGAACCAAAAUGAAAGAAGACUACCCCAAAUGCUACACAGAUCCCCGAUCGUCCCCAACUGGGCUCCACUACUGAUCAACUAGAAUGAAACAACACAAAGGACAAGAUCUUCAUCGAGCUCCUCCUUGAGCUUGGUUGCGUCAUCUGCAUGGUUCAUCGGCACCUGCAAGCUGGUUUUGGAAGUAUCUGUGAGUCACGGGGACUCAGCAAUCUCACACCCUCGCAAUCAAAACUAUUUAAGCUUAUAGGAAGGGUAAAAGGUAUGAGGUGGAGCUGCAACAAGCGACUAGCAUAUUUGGUGUCUAACACAUACGCAAAAGAGAGCGAGAAGAGAAGGCAAAGCACGUUCGAGAAAUCUAUGAUCAAGAAGUGAUCCUCGAAUAACCUACGUCAAGCAUUACUCCAACACCGUGUUCACUUCCCGGACUCCGCCGGAAAGAGACCAUCGCGGUGACACACCCGACUGAUGUAUUUUAAUUAAGGUCAACUUCAGGUUUUCUACAACCGGACAUUAACAAAUUCCCAUCUUCCCAUAACCGCGGGCACGGCUUUCAAAAGUUCAAAUCCCUGCAGGGGUGUCCCAACUUAGCCCAUCACAAGCUCUCAUGGUCAACGAAGGAUAUUCCUUCUCCCAAGACAAUCCGAUCAGGCUCGGCAUCCAGGUUACAAGACAUCCUCGACAAUGGUAAAACAAGUCCAGCAACACCGCCCGAAUGUGCCGACAAAUCCCGAUAGGAGCUGCACAUAUCUCGUUCUCAGGGCACACUCAGAUGAGCCAGACGUCGGGUAGGCCAGCCCAGAGUUGCCCCUGGUAGCUCCGGACAUCGCUCAGUUGGACCAACACUUAGAGAAGCACUGGCCCGGGGGGAGGGUUAAAAUAAAGAUGACCCUUGAGUCUGUAGAACCCAAGGGAAAAAGAGGCUAGGUGGCGAAUGGUAAAACCAAUGUUGGGCAUUGCUGGAGGAGUUUUAUUCAAGGCGAACUGUCAAGGGGUUCCCAUUAUAAGCCAACAGCGUAAGGAACACAAAAUCUGGGAACAUAACACCGAUAUGACGGAAACUACCUAACUAGGCAAGUUUAAAUGAGGCCGGAAGCAACAAACAACAAUUCCGGAAAAUCCUCAUAUGUAUAUAUUAGGUUUGGUACUGUUCUUCCCUAAAUCAAAUUUUAAGGUUGUUAAACAUGCAAAGAGAUGCCACCAUGAUAAUCUAUGCAUUUUUUUCACCCCAUUUACAUAUAAAGUUUAUUUAAAACUGAGCUACGGUUAUUUAGUUAUGAAUUAAACCAUUUUAGCAAGUUAUUUAAGCAAAUUUAAACAAACAACAUUUUAAACAUUUUAAACAUAGAUGAAAGUUGCAUAUUAUGAAUCUAGACAAAAUUCUAAGCAAGUUUCAUAUAUAACUUAUUUUAAACCGAUGGACGGUUGGUGAGUUAUUAAAUGCAUGUAGUCUAGGGGGUUUUCUGCAAAACUGGGUUCUCUGGAAUAAAAGAUAAAUUCGCAGACAGGAAAAAAACAUGCGAUGGGCUGGAUCUGGGAUGAACUGGGCUGCACAGGAGCAUGCACAAUAGAGAAAUAUCUCGUCCAGGGCGAUGGAUAGCAUGAGAGCGCUUACUCUGGGCCUCACGGGCCUGCUGAAGAUGGGCAGGGGGUUCGGGGCCGGUUGGGACGGAUCGGGCCAGACCGGUUCGAGCGAGCCGGCAGGUACGAGCGGUUUUCAGCUGGUUCGACCAUUCGAUAGUGUUCAGGGUAGAGGAGGCCUGGUCAACGAAAGAUAACUGCAGCUCCCGCUCGCUGCAGCCAAGAUGCAGCGCGGCGAGGGACUUGGCG